UUGCAAUCCCUUCAUGAAGUCAUCGUCGGAAAGCGGACAGAACCACGGCAAACAAACGAGAGACGGGUAAACAAGCGCACCUGUUCACCCCUUGAGCGACAGGGGACUGAUGGUCCCCGAGGAUCGAGCGAGCUGGAAAACAAACAACUGAUUCAUUCUCUCUGCAAAGAGAGGAACGGCGAGCUACCUCACAGCUAUGAAGUGAUCCAGCAACAAGAAAACAUUAAGCCCUGGCCUGCGAUCCUCUGAAGCAAUACCCGGAGAGGACAUCACAAGAAUCAACAAGAAUAGGCCCCAGCUCUCAGUGACCCUGAACAUGAUGAGCGGACAGAAUAAGAAAAGGAUGGCCGGAAAAUAAACUUUAGAAUAUGGCUAAAGAAUCAGACGUGCUUUCAUCUCCUUUCCACAUGAACAAUCUGUGAGCAGAGGCAAUUUGGGAGAAGGGCGCACUGCAGGCGGCUCUGUGUUUGGACGUCUACUUCCACAGCUCUCAGCUUUCACUCAUGCUCGGCUUACCGCCCAACUCGGCAGGGCUCCACUCUGGACUAGACUCAGCCCUUGUACUAAGGGCAUAUUGUGGCAUCUCUCAAACACUGACACUUAGCAAAAGCUCAUGUACGAUAGCAUAAAUAUUGAGAAAGUAAAAUUGCAUAGUCAAUUUCUUGAACAAAAUCUUAACCCCUCUCAUUCA
Molecule: long non-coding RNA, 691 nt
Organism: Syngnathus acus (greater pipefish)
Lineage: Eukaryota; Metazoa; Chordata; Actinopteri; Syngnathiformes; Syngnathidae
Exons: 3
Source: RefSeq, a predicted model, not a curated record